GCUCCAGCAGAGAUCUGGAGAAAGGACAGAAAUCCAGAAAAGCAAAAAAAAAAAAGAAGUUUAAUCCUCCUUAACAGCUCAUUUAAAAUGUUUAUUCAGUUUAAAUGAGCCAGUGAGCCAACAUAUGAAACAAAUAAAAGCAAAAUAAUGUAUGAAAGUUUAAAUAAAGUUGACAUUUUGAGGCUCUCAUGGUUGAAGAAUCCCACAUUGGCUGACACUUUGUCGUCCUCGAUCGUGUCAAUAAAGUUUUUUCAAAGGUGUUUGGCACGUGACAAGAGACGGACGCACCUGUUGAAGGAGGUUGCCGUGGAAACAUGGUGGAUAACCCGAACUUGUCUUCACGGCGCGUGAUGGAAGCUCGUUAAGGGGAAAUUAACGACACCGGCUGCUCCCGCGUCUUCCUCUUCCGUUGUUGAAGGGCUGACUUUGUGGAAGAGCAAAAGAACAUCGAGGACUUCGGCUGGACCCUCAGACACACACACUCAGAAGUGGUCUGACUUUUCCUCAAAGAGGAGCACCGACGGCAGUCGCCAGCUCGUCACGUGACCGCAGCGAUUUCCUUCGGCACUCAAAGGAAAUGAUCUCUGUCAGUCUGUCCGCCGCUCAUCCAGCCUCCCUCCCUUCUCUCUCUCCCUCUGAGCGCAUUCGCCCUGCGUCCUGCCUGGUGGUGUUUUUCACUCUUCUUCUUUCUUCCUUUCUCUCCUCUGUCUGUCUUCUGAGAGCAGAGCGGAGCCGAGCAUGAAAGUGACUUCCUCCAUCAUCUCUGCAGCCCGCGGCGUUCUGUUCAAUCCCUCCACCGCCACGAUGGACUUCGGGGUCACGACUCGCUUCCUCCUGGAAACUCGCCUUUACUGAGAGGCGUCUUAAGAUGUGUGAUCCCGCCUGACUCGAGCUGGGACGUGUUUCCAUUUGCCGGGAGAUGCUGCGCAGUCCGCAGGGCGAAGCAGGAUUCGCUCCUCGUCCCGGAGGUCCACCUGAAAGCAUCGGGGAGAGAUUCAGCCAAGGUCACAUGAUGACGCGUGAGCAAAGUCCAGUUCGUGAUGAAGGCCGUGAGAUUCGACGGAAAGCUCCAGAAAGAGCCAGUGUUGCUUCAGCAGAGAUGAAGUGAAGAAGGUGAGAGCAGGCAGGGAAAAGGAUGUUCUCAUAUGUGGCGUCGGCCUUCGGACUCCGGACCGUGAAGCGUCCGAAAGCUCCAGGAAAAGCUCGACAGAGAACAACUGGAGGGACUAACACAGACCUUCUCCUCAUGAUUUCAUUCAGCAGAUUGGACGUGACGACUCGGCGUCGGGCUCGGCGUCCGAUUGGCUGCUUCGCGUGUGACGCUGCGAGCUGGCUCAAGGUUUUGAGAGAUCCAAACACACACAUCUGAACUGUGGCUGUGAGUGGAACUGAACGCAACAUGAAAUGUCGUACUGGUCUGCCUGACAGCCUGGAUCGGCUUCGGCUUGUAAAUCCCACUUGAGUGUGUCCGCAUGUGACUGCCUCCGCUGGGUCCCGACGGGAGGGGAGGGGGGGCUCCGGGUGGACCCGCCCACCUCGGACCAGUUCCAGCCAAUCAGGUGCUAAUGUGCGGGAACAGGAGAGGGCUGCGCUGACAGAUGGCGGGCUGACCUGGAAAACCUGCCCCCUUUUCAGGGUUCAGCAGUCGGCAGAUGACAGGAUGGCAAAAGACACGACCCGCCCUUCUCUGCCUCUGAUUGGCUGCUACUCGGCAACAGCAGGAAGGAUGAAGGCUAACGCUAAUAUAUAACAGUGUUUUGGCAGGCGCCGUGCCGGUCCAGAUUGUAACCCCUAUUUCUGCCUCCAAAAACCUGCCUUGGAGGAGCGUCCACGGAGGGAUUAGGGAUUUAGUGGGGAAGAGAGGAUGCCUUGGUGGGAUUUGGUCUCCGAGACAGAAGGUGGCAGCAGUGCAACCCUGAGCUUUGGCUGAGCAGAAGAAGAAGAAGAAACAGGAAGUGGGAGGCAGCAGCUUGGCUGGCAGCAAGUGUCCACCCAAAAUGUUUGAAUGAAAAUGUUUUUCCACUGCACAACAAAAUCAAGGUGGAACACGAGGCAAGUGAGCAGCACCUGUUGACUCCACCCAGUCUCUGCUGG
Scatophagus argus is the source of this 2094-nucleotide long non-coding RNA. RefSeq lists it as uncharacterized. The record is from RefSeq and is a predicted model, not a curated record. The transcript is spliced from 15 exons. Lineage: Eukaryota; Metazoa; Chordata; Actinopteri; Scatophagidae.